This 569-nucleotide long non-coding RNA is filed under the name Astyanax mexicanus (Mexican tetra). RNAcentral's name for it is "lncRNA (ENSAMXG00005008924.1)". The record is from RNAcentral. Lineage: Eukaryota; Metazoa; Chordata; Actinopteri; Characiformes; Acestrorhamphidae.
GACACUUUUUACAUUAUUUAAGGUUUUAUCUGUAUUUUAUAUCAGAUAUCACUGCUGUAGCUACAUACCUCUCUCUUUAGCUUUCUCAUCAGACUGAGGGAGAGAAGCUAACCCGCUAAUCAGCUCUUAAAGUGACUGAGCUGUUUUUAAUUUCAUGUUUCAAAUCACAUCAAGUUUUACUCAUUUUAAGAAAAAAGAAAAUAUAAUAAUUUAACAUGAAGCAGAUUUAUAUAUUAUAAAAUAAAUAUUAAAAACUAUGUUUUGACUGUAUUAGCACAGAGUUCACUAAUGCUAGGCUAGUUAGCAGGGCUGUAUUACCCAUUACUCUGCAUUUCUGAAGAAAAUACAGCUUUAUGAGAGUAAAAGGGUUCAAUAAUGUGUACAGUGACCUCUCAAUCACACAGUCUGGACAGAUCUUCAGUUUCAUACAAGACUACCUUCAGUACAAGUCUGGUAAAGAAUCACUUGGUCUGAGUUGCUAUAGUGGCGGGAGCUUCUUUGUCUUCCUCAAGAGCUUCUUCCUCAGUUUUGGGUUUCCUGACCUGAGUGGAGUUCUGUCCAUCAUCCCG